Molecule: ribosomal RNA, 265 nt
Filed under: uncultured bacterium
Lineage: Bacteria
Description: partial 16S ribosomal RNA
Rfam family: Bacterial small subunit ribosomal RNA
Source: RNAcentral
GCAAGUCGAGCGAGAAGUACAUGAAGGAUCCUUCGGGUGACAGAAUGAAUGGAACGCGGCGGAAGGGUGAGUAACGCGUGGGUAACCUGCCUUGUACAGAGGGAUAGCCACUGGAAACGGUGAUUAAUACCUCAUGAAGCUAUAGUAUCGCAUGAUACAUUAGUCAAAACUCUGGUGGUACAAGAGGGACCCGCGUAUGAUUAGCUAGUUGGUAGGGUAACGGCCUACCAAGGCGACGAUCAGUAGCCGACCUGAGAGGGUGAUC